GACGAGUGGCGGACGGGUGAGUAACGCGUAGGAAUCUGCCUGUUAGUGGGGACAACGUGGGGAAACUCACGCUAAUACCGCAUACGCCCUACGGGGGAAAGGAGGGGAUCUUCGGACCUUUCGCUAACAGAUGAGCCUGCGUUAGAUUAGCUAGUUGGUAGGGUAAAGGCCUACCAAGGCGACGAUCUAUAGCUGGUCUGAGAGGACGAUCAGCCACACUGAGACUGAGACACGGCCCAGACUCCUACGGGAGGCAGCAGUGGGGAAUAUUGGACAAUGGGCGCAAGCCUGAUCCAGCAAUACCGCGUGUGUGAAGAAGGCCCUAGGGUUGUAAAGCACUUUCAAUGGGGAGGAAAACCUGCCGGUCAAUACCCGGUAGCUUGACAUUACCUAUAGAAGAAGCACCGGCUAACUCCGUGCCAGCAGCCGCGGUAAUACGGAGGGUGCAAGCGUUAAUCGGAAUUACUGGGCGUAAAGCGUGCGUAGGCGGCUCGUUAAGUCAGAUGUGAAAGCCCUGGGCUCAACCUGGGAACUGCAUUUGAAACUGGCGAGCUAGAGUUGAGUAGAGGGGAGUGGAAUUUCAGGUGUAGCGGUGAAAUGCGUA
RNAcentral lists this ribosomal RNA (604 nucleotides) under uncultured Methylococcales bacterium. Its description in RNAcentral is "bacterial SSU rRNA". It matches the Rfam family "Bacterial small subunit ribosomal RNA", at positions 90 to 692 of the family's 1533-position model. Lineage: Bacteria; Pseudomonadati; Pseudomonadota; Gammaproteobacteria; Methylococcales. The record is from RNAcentral.